GACGAACGCUGGCGGCGUGCCUAAUACAUGCAAGUAGAACGCUAAAGGAGGAGCUUGCUUCUCUGGAUGAGUUGCGAACGGGUGAGUAACGCGUAGGUAACCUGCCUGGUAGCGGGGGAUAACUAUUGGAAACGAUAGCUAAUACCGCAUAAUAGUAGUUGUUGCAUGACAACUGUUUGAAAGGUGCAAUUGCAUCACUACCAGAUGGACCUGCGUUGUAUUAGCUAGUUGGUGGGGUAACGGCUCACCAAGGCGACGAUACAUAGCCGACCUGAGAGGGUGAUCGGCCACACUGGGACUGAGACACGGCCCAGACUCCUACGGGAGGCAGCAGUAGGGAAUCUUCGGCAAUGGACGGAAGUCUGACCGAGCAACGCCGCGUGAGUGAAGAAGGUUUUCGGAUCGUAAAGCUCUGUUGUAAGAGAAGAACAAGUGUGAGAGUGGAAAGUUCACACUG
Molecule: ribosomal RNA, 457 nt
Filed under: Streptococcus mitis
Lineage: Bacteria; Bacillati; Bacillota; Bacilli; Lactobacillales; Streptococcaceae
Description: bacterial SSU rRNA
Rfam family: Bacterial small subunit ribosomal RNA
Source: RNAcentral